UAGAGCAGUGCUGUGGCUGCAGCCUCAUGAUGGGUGUGCUCUGCAGGAGGCAGUGACGCAUUUCGCCUUCUGAUGAUCAGAAAUUCCUUUGUGGAGACUGAACUCCAUUGCCUGGGCCAUGCUCCAGAGCAGGAGCUCCAUAGAGCAUCUCUUCAUUUCUAGCUGGUGGUCAGUCUGUCCAGAGGCUGCAGCACAGAAAGCCAGAUGCUGUUGUAUGGGUUUGCUCCUGGGCCUGGAUGGCUCUGCUGAUGCACCUGGCAGAGUUGAGUUUGGGUCUUUGUGCUCUGGAUGCAGCAGAGGGGCUGUUUGUAGAGAUCUGGGUUCACCUCCCAUCUGUGCCACUGGCUGUACGAGAGCUGCUUAGUAUCUCCACUCUGUGAUUCUCUGCCUGGCAGGCAGAUAGGAUGCUGCUUUGCACGCUCUGCUAGAGAGCAGACAGAGCCUGGCCACAUACCGGGUGAUGUACCAGUGUAUCGCUGCUGGUCAUCAGCAGAAGCUGCCCUGGCACUGAUGGCUGUUGGGGCAGUCUGUCCACCUGCCCAGGCUCGGGGCCUUGGGUGGCAACCUAGCUCUGAGUAUCUCAGACAGAAAGCAGCAGUCCCCAAAACUGUCUGUGCUCUGCAGCUGUCCCUGUCCUGUGCGGGGGAGCUGUGACGUGCAAGGAGACAGUUGCUGUCAGUCCCUCGCGUGGGGACAUGCAGGCUCUUGGCAUCCAGGCUGCUUUUCCCUUUGCUGAACUAGAUGGGAGCGCUGGCAGCAAGUGCAGGGCCCUGAGAGCACUUGAUACUGUGUGACCGUGUGGAGAGCGGGUUUCCCAAGCUGCUGCAGAGCUGAGAAGCCUUGUGGUGUGCGUUGCAACGAAGGACAUCUAGGUGAGGCCAGCCUGCCUGAUGCCUGCAAAAUUCUGCACAUCUGUAGCAGCUGUGCAGUCUGAAUGAUUCAGAUUGCCUUGUUCAUUGUGUAUGUGUGUGUGUCUUGAGCUGACCCUGCAUGUGGACAUCCAGGCCCGUUUCCCAGCCCUCUGGGAUGCUGCAUAUCAGUAGAUGUUACUGGAAGUGGCCUAAACACAGACAGGCAUGGUUUUGUGUGUGAAUUGACUUCUGCAGCCUUCCCAGUGAGAGAAAAGGCUCUUGCUGGCUGUGCUGAGACAGCUUAUCCAGAGCCCUCCUGCCUCGGGAUAGACAGUUUCUGGCCUCUCCUUCCUUCCGAGCACCAUGGGCUGCAGUGUCUUUUGCUCUGUGUCAUCAGAGCAAAGCACAGAGCUCAGAGCAUCACACGAGGACAGCACAGGUGCAGGGAUGUGGAAGAAAUCCUGCCCGUGGUGUUGACACACCUGUAGAGAAAACAGCUGAAUAUGCCAAGAAAGCACAUGCAUUCUUGUAAUCAAACUAGUAACUGUGAAUAUAAGUGUGGCCACUGCAGGAAUGAGGCUCCAGAUGGUUCUCUGAGCAAGGAGGACAGAAAAUGCCUAUCCAUGGUGAGCUUUGAAACUGGCUGCUGAGAGCAUCAAACCUCAGAUCUGGAUGUUAAAAGCUCCAGGAGAGGGCCUGGUAACUCAGAUCAGAGAUAAAUGAUAAAUGAGAUAAAUAGGCAGAUGUGAUUGUGCUGUUGGGAAACAGUGACCUGAAACCUUCCAGCCUGAAGAGCGGUUGUGGUAGGGCUGGAGGUGGCUGUGAGCAGCUCUGCAGCUGGAGGGAGAGAGCUGCUAACCUGUGUGGCUGUGGGUGCUGCAGUGUAAGGUGGGCUCAGUGAGGGUCCCAUCAGCUCUCCCAUAAUUCAGUGCCCCUUUCUGUCACCUUGUUGUCAGGGAGUUUCCCACCCCUCUCACUUGUUCAUUUCCCGCCCAGCAGCUCUGCAGUGCCAGGGAUGGGAAGAGGUAUGCCUGAAGCCUGCAAAAAACAUCCCUGUCCCUGGGGCAGAAACCUGCCCAGAAGCGGGGCUUGGAGGUGUGGGGGUCUUUGCUGCAGACACCUUCCAGCAAGUCAGGCUGGUAACAGGAUUGCAUGAGGAAUGGUUUUAUAAUGGACUGAACUCAUCUUGUGCAGUAGGGAAAUGGCACAUAUGAGGUAACCUCCUGGCUGCAGUAUCUGACAGAAAAACCCCUCCCUGAAGUCUUACUUUCAUGGUUGAUGCUCUUCAAAAUAAUCUUUUUUCUCCUCGGUGUGACGAAUGACAUGGGAAACCCUUCUGCAAGGAAAUAAAUUCUGUGUGUGGCUUUCACUUGGCAGUGCUGAAUUCCUUUCCAUGCUGCUGUUGUCUUUCUCCUUUCCCCUUCUCCUCUUUUCCCUCCCACAUCUCUCUUCUCUAUCACACAUCCUCAGCUUUUAGAGCAAUAAUUGCAGAUGAGCUAAGAAAACCCUAACAUGUUUUUAACGAUGACUUUCAUUCCUUUCUCUGCAGUGUUCUCUGAGGCUGCACUCUGAAAAUGUGAAGGUGUUUCAAUGAUUUUUUUUGUUGUUUAGACCUGUUCUUGGAGGAGAUUUCCUUGAAUUGACUUUCUGCAUAAGUACGAAUGGGAGGUUGUCCGGUGGCACUAAAUGUGGAGUCUCCUACUUCAAAAGCCACCAGAAUGUGACCCUGGGCACUUGCUCUGGGUGUCCCUGCUUUAGUGGGCAUUGGAGCAGAUGGACUCAGAAGUCCCUGCCAUCCUCAAUGAGUCCUUGUCUCUGAUUCUUUGUGGUCAGUCAAGGACCCAUUGUCCAUGUGAUUCUCACUUGCUGGAUGUUGAAGGCCUGGAGCCUUGGUAGAUAGGUGGACUGGCCUGGUUUGCCCAGGGGUCUGGGGUUGUGUGUUAAUGCCAUGUUACAGGGUGCCACAAACCCUUGGCCAAGCAGGCAGAUGAUGUCAGCACUCUGAUUUCUUUUUCCCAUCUCCCUGCUGGUGAAUUCAGUGGAGGUUUCCCCAUUAAAGAGGAACACUGGAGUCAAGCAGCCUUGUGUCUGCCUCCAGAGUGCAGACGAGAGCUGUACCUAAGCACGACCCAUCCACUCUGACCUCAGGCUCUGGUUCUGUGUUCCCUAUUUCACGUUCAGCUUCAUGAGUUAUCUCCAGUGCUGUCAAAGUGGUGCACGAGGACAUAUGCAUGGGCUCUUGUGCAGCCAUGUAACUGAGUCCUCGAGGUUCUAUCACCCAUGAUAAGCUCACUGCUUGCUCUCUCCUCUCCUGCUCCCCAUAGGUCUUGUCCCUCCCUCCUGCGGCCCUGUCUGUCCUUCCCUGAGGCAGCUAGGACAGGUAGGAGCCCAGGAGCCUCUGUCAGCAUCCUCCCGCCCCUCCAGGAGUCAGACCAAAGUCCCAGGAAGCCCAGCCCCAGGUGCUCCUGUAACACACAUGGCCUGACUUUGCUUCUCUGAGCCGCUACCUGCAGCCCAUCCCAGGCACUGCCAAGACUUCUGCUUUUCAGGUGCUCUCAGUGGGUGUACAUCAGGGGAUGUGGCUGUGGAGAGCAGAGCUGGGGCCUGAAGGCUCUGCUGGGCACUGCGGUGUGGUGGUCUUGACUCUCCCCAUAGAAAAGGGGGCUGGGGUAGUGUGAGGAACAGCUCUUUGCUAUUUUCAAACUGGAUUGUAUCUCAGAGUUGCUGUGUCGGGAGAGGCCUGGUGCUGGGCUUGAUGCUGGCAGUCCUGCUGUUCCCUGUCUGACUUCCAGUGCAGGCCAGUGAUGCAGGGGGAGGACAGAGAGCAGCUGCCAGAUGGCUGCAGAGUGGACAUGCUGCCUUGCUGCCUUGUAGCAUUGCAGGAGAGAUUCCAGAUGAGAGCAAACACCAAGCCUGCAGCAAGAUGCACUGGAAGGGUGCACUGGAAGAUCAUGCCAGGCCAGUGGCUGGUUAUGUUGUAUGUGAGAACUUCCCCCCAGUGCCAGUGACCCUUUGUGCACCCGCUUCUGCAGUGUGAGCUCAGUGGGACUGCUGGCAAUGGCAGUGCUACUGCUUCUGGGGUGUUGUGUCCCUCACAGCAGAGGUUGCUCAGGGUCCUUGGAGAAGCCUUCAGUCACAGCAGGGUCACUGCUGGCAGCUGAGCCUGCUCAAUACAGGGGACCUACACAAAGGAAAGCACACUGGGGAGAAUGGGAGAAAGAGAGAAGCCACUGUGAGCUGGAGCUGAACAGUGCUGGGUGACCUUUUUUGCUCCAGCAGCCUUGUUCAGAGGGAAGUGGAGGACUCUUUAUGUUGACAUAUUGCACUCAGAAGCUCAGCAGUGUGUUUUCCCUAUAUCAGGAGCUGCAUGCCGCACACACGUGUUUAUGGCAGGGAAAUGGGGAAGCUCUGCUGCUACCUUUCCCUAAACAAGUCCCACCUGGCUCCUUAUCCAGCUGGCAAGGAGCAGGAGGGACCCAUGUCCCCUGCCCAUGGAUGGGGGGAUAUCCCCCACCCUCCCUCUGCAAUUGGAUGCUUGCAGAGCAAAGCUUGCAGCAAGCCAAGCAUCACUUGCACUCCAUCAGACGUAGGUGUCUAUAAAAAGCCUCUCUGGGGUUGUGAUUGGGUGUGCUGGCUGUGCCACGUGGUCUCUUGUAAGGCCUGUGUUGCUGAGCAAGUGGCAUUCCACUUAUUUUUGGCACAAAUAGUCUUUAGUUAAUACAUAAAUUCAGCUUAAAUUCUGGAUGGAAAAUAAAUCCCAAGUGGAGGCUCUGCUAAUAAGAUGACAGACGCUUCGGGGAGCCGGGGCUGCUUGUCAGCAGAGCGGUUGUGACUGCUGAGAUCUGAGAGCAGCAACAUGCUCAGGCACAAGGUCCUUAAUAGUUACCAUGAGUUGUUGGACUAAAUUACAGAAAAAUUAGGCAGAUAGCUGAGAUGAGCUCUAACUUGAAUUGCUAGAGCUGAACUUGUUACAGCAAAUGCCCCAAUGCAAUCCCGAGUCGCACACUGUCAUGGAGAGAAAAGGAGGGAGGUGGAGCAUCAUUUUAGGUCUGCAAAGCUGCAAAGCACUCUCCUCUCUGACUGUGUGCUGGUCUGAGGCUCUCUGUAGUACCUCUCCUUUCUGAGUGACCCACUGUAGGUCACCCCAGCGUGUUUCCUAGUCCAUCCCAGGGAACUUUCACCCCACUGGGUGGGUGGUGGAAGAAUGCCAGGUCAUCGCUGCGUCUCCUGCUGCAUGCCUCACCUUUUGCAUGAGAUCUGCUCCUCUUCACUCAGCACAUGAGCCUCUUGCCAGGUAGCAGGUAGGAUUUUAGUCAUUCAGGUCUCAGAUCGAUCUUUCUGGGGAGGUUCAAGGCCUUUUUGUCACAGUCAGGACCAAUGAUGCAGCACUGGCCUCAUAAAGUGUGGGGAGCCUGAGAUCACUUCUUUGCUGUGGAUUUCCACUGGACCCUCCUUCUCUCCUCUGCAGUCUCAAUCAGAAAGUCUGGCAGAGUAAGGUUCUAUUUUUUUAAUUUUUAUUUUUAGGUUUUCUGGUCAAUAAUGUGCAGUUGCUUUGUUUUUCUGAGCUCUCGAGGGGAGAGGGAAGGCUCAUUCUGGAGCCUUUUAGGACUGUUUUUACUGCAGCAGGGAAAGCUCUGACUAGCACUGUCAGUGGACAACUAUAACGCACAGUGGGAUAUGGCUAGGUCUCUACUACAGCCUGUGGACAAGACUUAACAGCCUUAAAGCACUGUAGGGAAGCUGUAGGUGGAUGCAGCUGUUCCUCUCCUCUCUGAUCCUUCAUAACUCCACUCUCAUCUGGGACCUGCUCAGCCCAGUUGAGGGCCCUUUCUGAGUCUCAUGAAGAAAGGCCCUACCGCAACUGGUUUGAUAACAAAGCUUAUUUAAUACGACAGCAUAAGAAGAGGAGCACAGAUAGCAAGUAAAUCUAACAUCCAUUCAGAUGCCGGGCAGCCCACAUUUGCACAACAUCAGACAGAGCCUGGCUGGGUUUCUCCCAUGGAGUAGGUCAGAUCCCAUCCCCGGUGAGAAGUUCUCCCUUUCGCUCAUUUGAGCUAUGGUGCAGUUUUCUUGCAAGAGAACAACUUUAUCCCUAAAAGACAUUCUCAUGAGAACUUUUCUCUGCAUUGUUAGCCUGGCACACAGAUCUGCAGGUGGUGUGAUUGCCCGUUUCAAGUGGGUGCUGCCUGCAGGUUCCUGCAUUGCAGUGAGCUGCUGAGUCUGUCCUGUGGCCAAGGGAGUGCAGGGCAGCCAUGCUGGGUGUGCAGCAUGGCACAGACAUGGUGCACUUAGUUAACAGAUGUGUCACAUGAUGUGCAGGGUCAGGGCCAAUACUCCCCCAUUGCUGCACAACUCCUGAGAUGUGGGUGCCUUCCUCCAGCUAUCACUGGUGACCCUUUUGGUGCAGUUGAGCUCCUGGCUCUAACCCAGGAUUUGGGCUUUGUGCACCCAUCACCAAAUCUGAGGCUUUCUGCAUAGUUUGGCCUCCAGCCUGACAUGUGCACCUGGCACUCAGGCCCAGAUUCUGCACCACAGACAAUCCAGGUGGCCCUAGAUAUAUGUACAGACUGGGGGAGAGCAGCCCCUCAGAAAGGGAUCUGGGAGUUCUGGUUGAUAGCAUGAUGAGGGGAAAAGAGCUGCUGGUGCUGGAGAGAGCAGGGGAGGCUGGGGCUAUGGCAGCCUCCAUCACAGCCCCGCUUCCAGCUCAUGAAGGGCUCAGGUUAGCCACAAAAUCGGUGCAGGGACACAGAGAUGAAGGUGAGGGCUGCCCAUAAGCAAGGUCAGCCUUGCUCUGCCUGUGGUUCCUGCUGCACAGAGCUGCUUAUCCCCACUGGGUGAGGCAGGGAGCACGCCAUGCUUUGAUGGAGACAAGGAGCGGUUUAGAGGGAAUUAGAAGGGAUUUAUGGUGGUGGAGGAAAUCAAAAUAAGCAUGGCCUGGGUCAGGGGCACUGGGCUGUAUGGAGAGGCUUGUUGCCUGGGAAUGCACCUGAGGAAUUACAGCAUUGGCAGCAGGGCUGCUCACAAGGGUUUCUCUUAAAGCCCCAGUUCCCAGAGCUGUGGGAUACACAAAUCUUGGUUUCCUUGUAAAAAUUGUGUGGUAACAGAGAUGAGACAGGGAAUAUGAACCAGCAAAGCGCAUCCCACUGGAACGUGAGUAAACAUGUUCCAGCAUUUAUUAUCUUUCCUGUGUGCUUGAAAUCCAGCCCCAACCUGGGAGAGUCCAGCACUAUUUUGGGUUAGCAGCAUGGAGAACCCAAAGAAUAUCCCUGUUUGCAUGUCUGACCUGAGGUUUCUCCUUGCUUCCAGUUGUUUAACUGUUGUACAGCUGCUUUGGGGACCACCGUCCAGCAGCGAUAGCUCAGAAUCUGUUGUCCCAGGACUUUGUUGCACAGCAUCAUCUCUCCUGGCUGGUCAGCUGGGUCCUCAGUGCUAGCCGAGCGUGCUAAAGCCACAUGCAUGACAACCAGGCUCUGAUCCACCAUGUUGUCAACUUUUAGUGGCAAAGACAUUGUCUGUUCCCCUUGACUUGCUGGGACAAGAGGUGCAGGCUGAUGAAUGACACUGGUGUUGGCACUGGUGUUGACUCUAGUUGCUAAUGGCUAUGGAGGACAUCCUGCUGGACCUGGGGUGAGCUGCUGGAGCAGUUUCAUCUCACAGCCUCAAGGAUGCCAGGAUGCAGCAGUGCCUGGCAAAACACAGGCAGGCUUCGCCAAAGGAGCUUGGGAUCUGGCGGGUGGGUGGGGUGCUGACAGCUCCUCCAGCUGCCCUCAGAUUGCUGCAAAGAGCCUGCCUUCACCUUCCACUCAGCACCCAGGCUGUCAGUGAGAUGUUUGUGAGCCCCCCGUGGUGUCUGGCAGGACUUGCCCACUCAGAAAUCAUAGGGCUUGGUGGUGUUGCAGGUGGGGAUUGGGGAUGCGGCUGGGCUGUACCAGGGGUUUUUAUUCCAGCUGUGUAAUGCAUAGCCAAGCUUCUAGCUGUCAGAAGCAGUAGGGUGCAUGUCCCACAUCCCCACUGCUGAGCACCAGCAUUAGCAUAGUUUUCCUCAUGUACAAUAAGAGAUAAGAAUGGGGAAGGCUAGGAAUCUACAGUCAGGUGAAAAACAUCCAAUUGCUGCCAUCCCCAGAGGCAUUGGCAGAGAAAACUCAGGCAGGUUCUUGCUGGAGCUUUGCCUGGAGCUGGUCCUGUGUUGCACACUUAAUGCUGGGAGGGUUCCUGCUCUGCAUCCUGCAGUUUUUCAGAUAGCAACAUUGGGAGGAGAUCACAAGACAGGAGGAAGAGGACAGUCACAGCACAUGUGAAGCUGCAGCAGCCAAAGGACUGCAGGGGAGAAGAUGGAGAUAUGGUGGGGGAGCAACAUGAGUCCCCAAAUGAUCACGGUGGAGGGUCAGCCAAUGAGUUAGCUGAGCAGGUCUUUGAGCUGGCAGGAAGACAGGCCAGGUAUCUGGUGGAUGGUGGCUGUGUAUGAGGUCUUCAUCUGUGCUGCCAUUGCUGCAGAGCCCUGUGGAGCAGCAGAGGAACCGUGUGGACUGACAGUGCCCCAGCUGCUUAAAAAACAGUGGUGAGGCAGAUCUGAACCUGGGGCAUGCCAUAAGGUGUGUGUUUUUUACACAGCUGUAUCUCCAUGGACAAAGUGUGUGAGAUCUUGGGAAUAGAGAGAGACACAGGUGGAACAUUUUUUCCUUUGGCUGCAAAGCCAGGCAGUCUGAGUCUUGGAGUGGCUUGCCUCAAGGUCAUGAAGCAAAGGCUUCUAUGGAGGAUUGGGAGAAGCAAUGGGAGAAGUAUGUUAGAUGCUACUCUAACAUACUUCUGGGCAUCUUUUACCUAAAAGUGCUUUACCAGUGCAAAAGUGCUUUUGAUUCUCCAUGUAGGCUUCUCUGAAGACUUAUGUCUGGCACAGACAGCCUCUAACAAAGCUCCAAGGUGACACAGCAAGUUGUCACUGGCCUUGUCAGAUCCUGAGGCCUCAUUCUACUGAGUAUGGAUUCAGAUGCCCAUGUAACUGCUAGCUUUGGCUGGAUGCUGUUUUCCUGCUGUCAGAGGAGAGGUGAGGGUUGGGCUGACCUGCAUUUUGUUAGAACUGCUUCAUCGUUUAAUGCUUUAUUUGAUGGAGAUAAAACAAACUGCAGCAGGAAUUGUGCUGCUCAAAUAGGCAGUUCUCGUUUCUCUCUCACAAAGAGCUCUGUUGAGUGUCUGCAGCACGUGGUGUGCAGUGCUGUGGGGCAAGGAGAAGACCUGGCUCUCCUGUCCCAGUGAGUGUGGACAUCUCCUGCCCUGACUCCUUGGUUGUGUUGCUACAGGGCUAUUCUCUGUCACAGAUGCCCAUAUGCAGCCUGCAUCUGUGCUAUCGAAGACAGCCACUGACACAGGGUGGUUAUGUACAGAGAAGGAGCUCUUGAACUGUAAGUUUUUUUUCUUCCUAGGUAAAACAGUGUCAGGGAAUCUUCAGCAGCAUAGGAGUGCAACCACACGUUGCCCUCAUGCAGUUUGAUUUAUUGAUAUUGCUGCAUCUUUGGGAUAUUCCAGCUAACAGCAGCAGCAAGGCUCCUGCAGUGGUCGGUGAUGCAAAGGUUGAACCUUAGGGGAACAUUUCUGUAGUGGCCACUGCUUACUGUCUGGUGGUGCUUGUAACCUAGCAAAAAAGGAAACCCAAAUGAAUGCAGGUAUAUUUUCCAGGAAGGCAGGAGUUGUGGGUGGUGUCUCAGAAGGAGCUUUUCUCCAACUAUGCCUUUCUCCUAAUCCCAUCACAGAAAAUGCUGGGUGUUGGGAAAGGUCCAUCUGAACUAUGACCAAAAUGGGAGAACUCUCCAUCUCCUUGCACAAGGCUGCUGGGUGCAGUUCAUGAAGGCUGAGGCUGCUGCAGAUCCAUCCCACCCUCUGUGGCCUACAGGAGCCUGCAGCCAUAUCAGCUCCAGGCGAGUGGGAGGGUUUUCAUGUGAUGACUUCUGCAUGGUGAUGCCCGCAGAGAUUUUCCAUUCCUUAGGGUCUGAAGGAAGGAGGGCAUCCCUGGGAGGGCCUGAGGCCUGCCAGCAGGCCAUGAAGGGGGAGUGCUCUGCUGUAGCCAGGACAGAGCCUGGGCUAAUGCUGACUUUGGUGGUGCUGCAGGCUGCUCCUGAGCAGGAGCUGGCCCUCCAUUGCAUUCGGUAUGCUUGUUGGAGCUCACAACUGGAACAUGCUGUCCUAGAAAACUGCAUUAGUCCCAGAGUCUCUGAGGCUGUUGCUCCUGCGUAGCCAUUUCCAGUCAGGGGAAAGUGGGACAGGAGAGACCUGGCAGCAGCUCAGGCAUGGGGAGGAAACCACAAGGCUCUGUGCUGCUGCUGGUGUGAGCCUGGCAUGGCUUCUCUUCAGAUGCUUGGAAAACUGUGAAGGGGAAAUCAAGGUAAAGAGGAUGAAGGCUAGUGACUCAAGUUCAGCCAUAUGGUUUAUUUCUAUGCCUAAAACUUUCUCAGGUCCUAAUUAAGGACACAUUAAGUGAUUAGUGUCACCUGUGAUUUAAUCAAGGUUAAUAGGCAGCACCUGUCAUUAAUGGCAACCAUGACAUGAUGCACAUCAGCUGCAGCUUGCUUUUCUAAAGUAUGGAGCAAUCUACCUGCAAAAGGUGCUCAGCUGUAACACAGUACCACUUUGUGUUGAAAAGGACUCUCAGGUUAAAAUCAUAUCUAGAAAUAAUAAUGCAUUCCCUUACAUCUGUUUCUAAUAGCACAGUUGAUAUGGGGAAAUCAGGGGAAAUUCAGAAAUGAAGAAAGGUUCUCUCUGCUCUCUGCAGUUUUGACUGUGUAGCUACCCACGUGCACACCCCAAACAUAUUUUUAAUAAUCAUAAGCAAUGUCUUUAGGGAAAGCUGCUGAAACUUUCACUCUAAAAUUGAUUUCUGCUCUAUGUGUGGCUCCCAAGAAUAUUCCAUGGGCUUGUUUUCUGGGAGUAGGGAAGUCAGUGAGGGGUAUGUCUCACAGUGCAGCGUUUUCAAGGGCUUCGUGUAACUUCCUUUUGAUUCCUUGUGCUAUACAAAGUGAUUUGAUGUGUCUUGAUUGCCAGGCUGCAGAGACAGAUUAUGCAGGGAUGCUGAUGAGUGCCUAGCCAGUGCUCAAAUACGUUCUAACAGCAGUGGGUCUGGAUGCAGGCCUGGAGGCUUGUGAGGGCUCUGCCACAGUGCCACCACUUCCAUUUCACAAUUUGCAGACCAGUCCUGAAAGCCCUCCUGAUCCCCACUUUCACCUUUGUGCUUUAAGCUGCUAGGAGAGAAGGAACUCUGUUUAAAGCUGGCUGUAUCCUCCUGCAUGAACACAAGUGCUGGGAAUUACAAGAGAUCUUGGAGUAUUCAGACUGAUUGGGAGAAGUAAUGAGUUGUGCCCUGAGAUGAGGACAUGUCUGGAGAGACCAGGAAAGGCAGUGCAUCUUAGCAGAUGUGCUUUUCCUCUGGAAUCAGUUAUGUGGGAGCUGCUGGGAGGUUUUGCAUGCCAUUCAACAUCUCCCUGAAGAUGAAAGAUUCCUCCCUAAACUCUUGUUCAAGGGGACAGUUAAUCUGCAAAAUGGAUCUGGAAGAGCAUCUGGACAGCUGUACCCAAAGUUCCUACACAUUUGCCUGGAACAAGCUGCAGCAUUUUGGCAUGCAGUGUAGUGGUAUAUCCUGGAGCAGACCCUGGGCAGGGGAGGCUGGCGAAGACAUUCUUAUGGAUUGUCAUAGUUGCAGUGUUUGUGCAAAGCGAUAUGUAUAACCUGAGGAUCUGGCCUGUUAGCAGAGACUUCGGGCAUGAAGUAACAGCAGUUCUGAUCUGGGCAAAGUGUUUCCCAGGCAUGAGCUGAGCUUUGGGACUGGGGCCCAAGGGCAGGAGCUGCCAGGCAGACUGGCAAUGCCCUGAGUUAUGGAGUGACAGGGCUAAUGAGACUGAAGCCUGGAACGCCCUAUCUCUCCCUCUAGGAUGGGAUGUAGUCUGAAGAUAGGUGUGACUAGGGGUUCUGCAUUCUCCAUUUUCACAUCUCAACACCAGCUAGUUCUUUUACAGAGGGCUGGGAGGAGUGGGGUCAGAAAGUCUCAGCUGUCUGGAACUGCCUGGCCUGAUCCUGGUGCCCAGUUUCAAUGCUGUCCUGGGGAAUGGGCUCCACCCUCCCUUCCCCACCCUGCUGGCAGCCCUCCUCUGACAGAACUGCCCUGCUCCAGCCCUGCCACAGCCCAUCUGGGAACUGCCUGGGUGCAGGCAGAAGGGAGCAGCAGCCUUCCUGCUGCCAGACACUGAGCAGAUGGUUUCAUCCACACCUAGACAAGGCUCUGUCUACUGGGCUGACACGGGAGGCUAAACAGUUGUGUGAACACAUUCCCUCUGUCAUCGCUGACUUUUCCUAUGCAGUUGUCCUGAGGGACAAAGAGGGGAUCAGCAUGUGGGAUGUCUGAGCACAUGGAACAUCUUGAUGCCAGCCCAGGUCUGCAGGGACUGAGUGCCUGCAGAAGAGGAAGCAUGGGACCCAGCUGCUGGGCGUAGCGGGGCUCAUUUUGCGGAGGUUGCCAGUCACACACUGACCGUGGUGCUUGCCAGCUCCCGAGGGAGGAAGCAAUCUGUGUCAUCUCACAGCGGGCUUCCUUAAAUCUCAGCCUGAUUAAGUGGUGGCAGUAUGGGCUGCCCGAUAUGAAACAGCCAGCUUCCUUCUCUGAAAAGGGCCGAUAGUGCAGAAAUAGCCUGUUAAUUGUGUGCAUUUUCCUGCAGUCAGAGGCCAGUAACACGUGAAAUCACUAGAUUCUGACUCUGUGGGUAGACAUCUAAAGACGACCAGCACCACAUUGGUUACAAAGUGAGUCUGCCAUGCUUCUGAGAAAGGUGAAUUUGAACACUCUGGGUUUCUUUUCAACAUCAAGAUGUGUGAGGGAUUUAGGGAAUAUCCUCUCAGCUUUUGACAUCUUGUCUGACCUUUAAAAUGCGGUCCUUGUGCUUUCUGUGGUGAGAUAUGGGCUGAGAUACUCAUGGACUGCAUGCAGAGAUGGUGAAGCUUGUAGAAAGCUUUGCUGUAGAAGAAGAGAUGGUGUGGAAGGCUCUUAGAAGGGUUUUUUGUGGCUGUGGUUUUCCAUCAGCACGUUUACUGAGAGCUGUAUCACAGUCUGGAAAGAGAGUUUAAUGCACAGACUGCUGAUAAAGAAGUGCUGUAAGUAGUUACAUUAGAGUUAUUUAUUCAUUUCAAAGAGAUAAAAGCUUUCUGAAAUCAGUGCAGUCAUCUUAGCUUGUGGCUGUUGUUUUUCUUAGUUUCUUGUGUAUUUUAGAGACCCAGUUAAUUACAGGCAAUGACUGAUGCUCAGAAGAAUACAGCUCAAGCUGAAUUGUUUAUUUUUCUUUCCCUUCAUUCUCAGAAAGCAGUGAGCUGGGGCCUGCCUUGUGGUGGGUCUUCAGCUUUCGACAUAUAGGAAUAAAAUACUGUCAGCUGUGUUUGUGCUGAGACACAGUCAAACAUUAGUGCUUCUCCAGUUUGAAGAGCGAAGAGGUAUGGAGGUAAUGUAAAUGACAGCAUCAAUGCAUUUUGCCUGGUGAACACUAUGUAGAAAGCAUAAAUUAAGAGUUGUCCACUGGAAUCCUCUGGAGAUGUGAUCUGGAGGACACCAGCCUCAGGUGCUGCUGUCUGCAGGUUCCCAGCACUGCAGGGAGAAAUGUGGGAUGGCCUUGCCUUACACACUCCUUAAUUUCAGCAUGCUGGUUAGAAGGGAACAUUAAACUUGGAGAUAUUUAUGUGCAACUUCUACCUAAAAAGCUUUCUGAGAAACCCUGCCAUCCUUUAUGGACAUGUUACGUAGGGAUUUCUCGCUCCCUGUUGGAAGGCAGGAGUCUCAAUGAGUUGGACCCUCUUGAGCAGCGCAGUUAUGCUUUGCAGGGCAGUUAUGACUUCCAGCACAGGGUUGUGCUGAGGAACAGCCUUCAGCAGGUGGGAUCAGAUCUGAAGCUACCAAGGGCUUUUUUUUCCUGUGAGCUGUCUCUGUCUUCCACACUACAUAGCAAAGUUCCCAGUGCUUGGGGAUGAGCACUUCCGCUCUGUAAUCUUUGGCUCAGGUCUGCUCUGAGCCCCAUGCUGUGCUCUGAGACACUGUUGGCAGUUGCUGGGGUUUCAGCAGUGCCAGAUUCCUAUGAUCCCGAAGAGGUGUGGCGGCCAAGCAUGAUCUAACUUGUUCAUGAUCUGUCAACCAUUAGAGGCUGAACUGAUCUCCGUCAAACAAGAGCCCAUGGGCAAAAAACCUGUACCUCUGGUAUGGAAAGAUAGUGAGGACCUGAAAGCAAGACAGAGCUGUGGGCAGUGUAGGCACACACAGAGGGAGCUCAGUGGGAGCACAGCUGGGAACAGAGAUACGUGCUCAAGCCCUCUUUCCUGGACAUCCCAGCUAUGGCUCUUGCCUCCCCGAUGAGCAUUGCCCUGGACUGCUUGGGCAAGUAGGCCUCAGUUUCCGUGGAGAGGUUCAGUUUGAGACCUGAAGCUUGUUUCAGUGUAGGGCUUGGGAUUUAGACCAACCUAUUGACCCCAGAAGAAGAACCACUGUCUGCCAGGAAGGAAAAUCCCUCUCCUCUUGAGUCAUGCUUAGGUAACCUGUUUCAUUUCCCUUAAAGUCCAUCUAGAACCUGAUGGCAGGUGCUAAUAACCUCAUUGGGAUUUGGAAUCAUAGAACAGAAUCAUAGAAUCACUAGGGUUGGAAAAGACCUCUGAGAUAUCUAGUCCAACUGACCACCUACCACCAAUAUCACCCACUUGAACCAUGUCCCUAAGUACCAUAUCUACAUCUACACCCACCAUCAUCUCCUGAUGAUGACUGUCCUUCUGAGGAAGCCUUUUUUAUGCAGCUAUCACCUGUCACAUUGAAGCAAGGUUAGGCCAACCCCUGGUGCUUUUCACUGAGGCACGCAGGGCUGGCCUGAGCGUGUAACGCAGGUGGCCAACUGGCCUCAUAUAUUUCACAUUAUUCUUUCUGCCUUGGGGAAAGGCCAUGCACCACCGAGGUCUUGAUUACUGUGAUUCUGUUUGAACUGUUCACUAUCUGAUGGGUCUUACUCUCCCUGGCCUCUUCUAGGAGCCGAUAAUCCUCUCCCUCCAAUAACACCUUUCUCUAGUCCUCUUUUUCCCUUUCCUAGUAUUGGUGUCACCCUGCUCUGUUCAUGUCUCCUCUUUCAGCCUCUUUUCUUUCUGAUCACGUCCUGGCCAUCUCCCUGUGCCCCGACCCAGCUUUCCUUGCUGCCUUCCCUCUCUGCAGCUCAUCACCACUGGCGUGUCCCAACAGGCUGGCAACAUUUGCAAAAUGAAAAUGUCUUUUACCACAUUUUUCAGUUUUGCCACCAAAAUCUGACAGCCAAGAAUAUGAAGCUGCUUCUGCUGCCCCGUGUGUGCUUGGUGACCUGAAGGCAACCUAGCCAAGGCUCUCCUGAGCAGUUCCCAAGCCAUUCUUGCUCUCAUGCUUUGCUGCCCCAGGAAGAAAGGGCAGUUCUUGGAUCACCAUAGUCUGCUUGACUUCUCCAAUCUCAAAUUAUUCUGCUUUUGACAUAGGCAGCAGGCUAGCAGCUGGCACUUGUGAGAGCUGAGGAGGGAUUGUUUUCAGGACAACAGUAAAGAAGAGACUGACAAUGCAGAUGGAAUGGAAGAAGAUGACAAGUGAUUAAACAUCUGUAGAUGAAUGGAGAUGCAGCUUAAGAGAUUGACUGUCGCCUGCUGAGUGGAGAGAUGGAAGGAAAGAUUGCGUUCAUGUGCACCAGGAUUGCAAAUCCCACCCUCCCCCAGCAGAUCUUAAAUUGUGUUUGUUACUUAUUUUGAGCCUUCCCAUGUAUAAACCUUCACACAGCUUUGUACUGCACCUUUAUAGCCCCAGCUACUAUUUCUACCUGCCAGAACCUCUGAUCUUGUUUUCUGGGCAGAGAUCCUACAAAAUAAAACUUAGG
Long non-coding RNA from Meleagris gallopavo (turkey), 15739 nucleotides. RefSeq lists it as uncharacterized. The record is from RefSeq and is a predicted model, not a curated record. Lineage: Eukaryota; Metazoa; Chordata; Aves; Galliformes; Phasianidae.